UACGUAGGGGGCAAGCGUUGUCCGGAAUCAUUGGGCGUAAAGCGCGUGUAGGCGGCUCGGUAAGUCUGCUGUGAAAGUCCAGGGCUCAACCCUGGAAUGCCGGUGGAAACUGUCGAGCUAGAGUCCGGAAGAGGCGAGUGGAAUUCCUGGUGUAGCGGUGAAAUGCGCAGAUAUCAGGAGGAACACCAAUGGCGAAGGCAGCUCGCUGGGACGGUACUGACGCUGAGACGCGAAAGCGUGGGGAGCAAACAGG
Molecule: ribosomal RNA, 253 nt
Filed under: uncultured bacterium
Lineage: Bacteria
Description: partial 16S ribosomal RNA
Rfam family: Bacterial small subunit ribosomal RNA
Source: RNAcentral